This 1134-nucleotide ribosomal RNA is filed under the name Bacillus sp. (in: firmicutes). Its description in RNAcentral is "bacterial SSU rRNA". It matches the Rfam family "Bacterial small subunit ribosomal RNA", at positions 52 to 1175 of the family's 1533-position model. Lineage: Bacteria; Bacillati; Bacillota; Bacilli; Caryophanales; Bacillaceae. The record is from RNAcentral.
UACUGCAGUCGAGCGAAUGGAUUAAGAGCUUGCUCUUAUGAAGUUAGCGGCGGACGGGUGAGUAACACGUGGGUAACCUGCCCAUAAGACUGGGAUAACUCCGGGAAACCGGGGCUAAUACCGGAUAACAUUUUGAACUGCAUGGUUCGAAAUUGAAAGGCGGCUUCGGCUGUCACUUAUGGAUGGACCCGCGUCGCAUUAGCUAGUUGGUGAGGUAACGGCUCACCAAGGCAACGAUGCGUAGCCGACCUGAGAGGGUGAUCGGCCACACUGGGACUGAGACACGGCCCAGACUCCUACGGGAGGCAGCAGUAGGGAAUCUUCCGCAAUGGACGAAAGUCUGACGGAGCAACGCCGCGUGAGUGAUGAAGGCUUUCGGGUCGUAAAACUCUGUUGUUAGGGAAGAACAAGUGCUAGUUGAAUAAGCUGGCACCUUGACGGUACCUAACCAGAAAGCCACGGCUAACUACGUGCCAGCAGCCGCGGUAAUACGUAGGUGGCAAGCGUUAUCCGGAAUUAUUGGGCGUAAAGCGCGCGCAGGUGGUUUCUUAAGUCUGAUGUGAAAGCCCACGGCUCAACCGUGGAGGGUCAUUGGAAACUGGGAGACUUGAGUGCAGAAGAGGAAAGUGGAAUUCCAUGUGUAGCGGUGAAAUGCGUAGAGAUAUGGAGGAACACCAGUGGCGAAGGCGACUUUCUGGUCUGUAACUGACACUGAGGCGCGAAAGCGUGGGGAGCAAACAGGAUUAGAUACCCUGGUAGUCCACGCCGUANACGAUGAGUGCUAAGUGUUAGAGGGUUUCCGCCCUUUAGUGCUGAAGUUAACGCAUUAAGCACUCCGCCUGGGGAGUACGGCCGCAAGGCUGAAACUCAAAGGAAUUGACGGGGGCCCGCACAACCGGUGGAGCAUGUGGUUUAAUUCGAAGCAACGCGAAGAACCUUACCAGGUCUUGACAUCCUCUGAAACCCUAAAGAUAGGGCUUCUCCUUCCGGAUCAGAAUGACAGGUGGUGCAUGGUUGUCGCCCGCUCGUGUCUUGAGAUGUGGGUUAAGUCCGUCACCCACGCAACCUUGAUCUCAGUGCCAUAUUUAGCUCGGUCAACUGAGGGUACUGCCGGUGACCAUCCGGAGAAAGCGG